Molecule: ribosomal RNA, 201 nt
Filed under: uncultured bacterium
Lineage: Bacteria
Description: partial 16S ribosomal RNA
Rfam family: Bacterial small subunit ribosomal RNA
Source: RNAcentral
UACGGGAAGGGCAAGCGUUAUCCGGCGUGACUGGGCGUAAAGAGUCCGUAGACGGUAAAGGUAAGUUUAUUGUUAAAUGUUAAAACUUAAUUUUAAUAGAGCAAUAAAUACUGCUUUACUUUGAGUUUAAUAUAGAAAAGUAGAAUUUUAUAUGGUAGGGGUGAAAUCCGUAGAUAUAUAAAGGAAUGUCAACAGCGAAGG